UCUCGCGUCAGGAUAUGCCUAGGUGGGAUUAGCUAGUUGGUGAGGUAAUGGCUCACCAAGGCGACGAUCCCUAGCUGGUCUGAGAGGAUGAUCAGCCACACUGGAACUGAGACACGGUCCAGACUCCUACGGGAGGCAGCAGGGGGGAAUAUUGCACAAUGGGCGCAAGCCUGAUGCAGCCAUGCCGCGUGUGUGAAGAAGGCCUUCGGGUUGUAAAGCACUUUCAGUCGUGAGGAAGGUGGUGUAGUUAAUAGCUGCAUUANUUGACGUUAGCGACAGAAGAAGCACCGGCUAACUCCGUGCCAGCAGCCGCGGUAAUACGGAGGGUGCGAGCGUUAAUCGGAAUUACUGGGCGUAAAGCGCAUGCAGGUGGUUUGUUAAGUCAGAUGUGAAAGCCCGGGGCUCAACCUCGGAAUAGCAUUUGAAACUGGCAGACUAGAGUACUGUAGAGGGGGGUAGAAUUUCA
RNAcentral lists this ribosomal RNA (466 nucleotides) under Vibrio harveyi. RNAcentral describes it as "bacterial SSU rRNA". It matches the Rfam family "Bacterial small subunit ribosomal RNA", at positions 213 to 671 of the family's 1533-position model. The record is from RNAcentral. Lineage: Bacteria; Pseudomonadati; Pseudomonadota; Gammaproteobacteria; Vibrionales; Vibrionaceae.